GGACGGGUGAGUAAUGUCUGGGAAACUGCCUGAUGGAGGGGGAUAACUACUGGAAACGGUAGCUAAUACCGCAUAAUGUCGCAAGACCAAAGUGGGGGACCUUCUGGCCUCAUGCCAUCACAUGUGCCCACAUGGGAUUAUCUAUUAGGUGGGGUAACGGCUCACCUAGGCGACAAUCCCUAUCUGGUCUGAGAGGAUGACCAGCCACACUGGAACUGAGACACGGUCCAGACUCCUACGGGAGGCAGCAGUGGGGAAUAUUGUACAAUGGGCGCAAGCCUGAUGCAGCCAUGCCGCGUGUGUGAAAAAAGCCUUCCGGUUGUAAAGCACUUUCUCCGGGGAGGAAGGCGGUGAGGUUAAUAACCUCAUCCAUUGACGUUACCCGCAGAAAAAACACCGGCUAACUCCGUGCCCCCACCCGCGGUAAUACAGAGGGUGCAAGCGUUAAUCGGAAUUACUGGGCGUAAAGCGCACGCACGCGGUCUGUCAAGUCUGAUGUGAAAUCCCCGGGCUCAACCUGGGAACUGCAUUCGAAACUGGCAGGCUAUUGUCUUGUAGAGGGGGGUAGAAUUCCAGGUGUAUCGGUGAAAUGCGUAUAGAUCUGGAGGAAUACCGGUGGCGAAAGCGGCCCCCUGGACACAGACUGACGCUCAGGUGCGAAAGCGUGGGGAGCAAACAGGAUAAGAUACCCUGGUAGUCCACGCCCCAACGAUGUCGAUUUGUAGGCUGUGCCCUUUUGGCGUGUGUUCCCCAUCUAACCCUUUAUUCUACACC
This 774-nucleotide ribosomal RNA is filed under the name uncultured Klebsiella sp. RNAcentral's name for it is "bacterial SSU rRNA". It matches the Rfam family "Bacterial small subunit ribosomal RNA", at positions 100 to 870 of the family's 1533-position model. Lineage: Bacteria; Pseudomonadati; Pseudomonadota; Gammaproteobacteria; Enterobacterales; Enterobacteriaceae. The record is from RNAcentral.